RNAcentral lists this long non-coding RNA (695 nucleotides) under Pan troglodytes (chimpanzee). RNAcentral's name for it is "long non-coding RNA NONPTRT006085". Lineage: Eukaryota; Metazoa; Chordata; Mammalia; Primates; Hominidae. The record is from RNAcentral.
CCAUGACAGCCUCUACCUGGGGGCCUCGAACUCCCUUCCUGGAGACCCUGCCUCUUGCUCUGUUCUGGGGUCCCUCAACCUGCACCUGUACAGAGACCCAGCUCUUCUGGGUCUCCGCUGUCCCCUGUAUCCCAACUUCCCAGAGGAAGCAGCACUGGAGGCUGAGGCAGAGCUGGGCGGCCAGCCCUCUUUGACUGCUGAGGACUCAGAGGUCUCGUCCCAAUGCCCAUCAGCCAGUGGCUCCAGUGGCUCUGACAGCAGCUGUGUGUCAGGGCAGGCCCUGGGUAGGGGCCUCGAGGACUUACCCUGUGUCUGAGCCCGGGACUGGACGAGCAGUAGAUCCAGCAGCCUGCAGCUCCAAGGAACAUUGCCUCUCUGGAUCUGCUGUGACCAGGGUGUGGCUGACACCUGGGCUACCUCCAACCUACGUGUGCAACGCUGUUGACUACCCUUUCUGAUGUGUGUGGCCAUUGGACUAACUGGCACGGGGCCUCUCUAGGGGAGUCUGGUUGUAGAGCCUGAAUAGGCUCUUGGCCCCAUGACCCCUUCUCCUGUCCCCAGCUCCCAUCCCAGUUGUGGGUUAAGAAUAGGCUAGAGCAGACAUUGGGUGUUUCCAUGCUGUAGGCUGGUGGGGGACCAUGUGCCUCUGGGCAGUGACUAGGGUGCCCCCACCCCUCAGGAAGAACACAGGGGGC